This 301-nucleotide ribosomal RNA is filed under the name uncultured bacterium. RNAcentral describes it as "partial 16S ribosomal RNA". It matches the Rfam family "Bacterial small subunit ribosomal RNA", at positions 509 to 807 of the family's 1533-position model. The record is from RNAcentral.
CAGCAGCCACGGGAAUACGGAGGGAGCUAGCGUUGUUCGGAAUUACUGGGCGUAAAGCGCACGUAGGCGGCUUUGUAAGUUAGAGGUGAAAGCCUGGAGCUCAACUCCAGAAUUGCCUUUAAGACUGCAUCGCUUGAAUCCAGGAGAGGUGAGUGGAAUUCCGAGUGUAGAGGUGAAAUUCGUAGAUAUUCGGAAGAACACCAGUGGCGAAGGCGGCUCACUGGACUGGUAUUGACGCUGAGGUGCGAAAGCGUGGGGAGCAAACAGGAUUAGAUACCCCUGUAGUCCCUGUCUCUUAUAC